ACUGUAACUCUCCGCCUUGAGUACGCUCCUCUUUUAAUCUUUUAACAGCAACUAAAGAGCCAUCAGCCAGCCUGCCCUUGUAAACCUUGCCAAAUCCUCCUCUUCCGAGUAUAUUUUUGUUGCUAAAAUUGUCAGUUGCAACUUGUAAUUCGCGCAAGGAGAACCUCUUGAGUUGUCCAAGAUGAACUUCUGGAUCCUCCUCAGCUGGAACAUCAAAGAAGUGGUCUUCCGGUUUCCUUCGACGCCACCAAGCAAGCAAAAUCGCAGGAGCUGCAAACAGAAGAGCA
Molecule: unclassified non-coding RNA, 287 nt
Filed under: Hevea brasiliensis (rubber tree)
Lineage: Eukaryota; Viridiplantae; Streptophyta; Magnoliopsida; Malpighiales; Euphorbiaceae
Source: RNAcentral